UUGACCUCGGAUCAGGUAGGGAUACCCGCUGAACUUAAGCAUAUCAAAAGCCCCGGAGGAA
RNAcentral lists this ribosomal RNA (61 nucleotides) under Diplodia seriata. Its description in RNAcentral is "partial 28S ribosomal RNA". The record is from RNAcentral. Lineage: Eukaryota; Fungi; Ascomycota; Dothideomycetes; Botryosphaeriales; Botryosphaeriaceae.